This 870-nucleotide ribosomal RNA is filed under the name Clostridioides difficile. RNAcentral describes it as "partial 23S ribosomal RNA". It matches the Rfam family "Bacterial large subunit ribosomal RNA", at positions 401 to 1281 of the family's 2925-position model. Lineage: Bacteria; Bacillati; Bacillota; Clostridia; Peptostreptococcales; Peptostreptococcaceae. The record is from RNAcentral.
UAUGAUCCAGAGUACCACGGGACACGUGAAACCCUGUGGGAAGCAGGAGGGACCACCCUCCAAGGCUAAAUACUACCUAGUGACCGAUAGCGUAUAGUACCGUGAGGGAAAGGUGAAAAGAACCCCGGGAGGGGAGUGAAAUAGAACCUGAAACCCUGCACUUACAAGCUGUGGAAGCACAUUUCUUGUGUGACCGCGUACUUUUUGUAGAACGGGCCAACGAGUUACGUUAAGUAGCAAGGUUAAGCACUUAAGGUGCGGAGCCGUAGCGAAAGCGAGUUUUAACUGAGCGUUCAGUUACUUGACGUAGACCCGAAACCGGGCGACCUACCCAUGAGCAGGAUGAAGCGAAAGUAAAAUUUCGUGGAGGUCCGAACCCACGAGCGUUGAAAAGCUCGGGGAUGACUUGUGGGUAGCGGUGAAAUUCCAAUCGAGCCCGGAGAUAGCUGGUUCUCCCCGAAAUAGCUUUAGGGCUAGCCUCAAGGUGAGAGAUACGGAGGUAGAGCACUGAAUGUCCUAGGGGGUAUUGCACCUACCGAAGACUAUCAAACUCCGAAUGCCGUCAUCUUAUACUGGGAGUCAGACUGUGGGUGAUAAGAUUCAUAGUCGAAAGGGCAACAGCCCAGAUCGUCAGCUAAGGUCCCUAAAUGUAAGUUAAGUGGUAAAGGAUGUGGGAUUGCACAGACAACCAGGAUGUUGGCUUAGAAGCAGCCACUCAUUCAAAGAGUGCGUAAUAGCUCACUGGUCGAGUGAUCCUGCGCCGAAGAUUUCCGGGGCUAAAACUUACUACCGAAGCUACGGCAUCAGUAAUGAUGGGUAGGGGAGCUUCCCAUACGGGUUGAAGCAUGACCGUAAGGACAUGUGGACAGU